This is a long non-coding RNA of Bacillus rossius redtenbacheri, 1194 nucleotides long. RefSeq lists it as uncharacterized. The record is from RefSeq and is a predicted model, not a curated record. Lineage: Eukaryota; Metazoa; Arthropoda; Insecta; Phasmatodea; Bacillidae. The transcript has 2 exons.
UUGAAAGUGAAAAAUUCAUAAAAUAAAGUGAGAUACUUUAAAAUGACAUUCCCCUGUAAAUUCAUAAAGAUACUUCAAUAUUAUAAAUUUUGGUUUAAAAUAAGGGAAACUAAUACUUUCAGGUCUGCUGCAACAUUUUAAUUGUCUUACAAAUUAUAAUUUACUUUUAGAUCUGUGAAGAAUAGAGUAAUUUGUAAUUUAUUAAUAAAAUAUUAUAAAGAAUUUUGGAUUUAAAGAAAAUAUAAUUAUUUAGCACAUUUUAUGUUUUUGCUAUAGUUGUAAAACUAUGACAAAGUACAUGAGCAGAAGAAAAAAAACAGCAAUAUAAACAAUAAUGCUUUGACAAAGAAACUCAAUAGAUGCUUUCUUGAAUGGUAUGGCCAGUCAAAACAUUUUCAUUUGAGCCAAUCAUGCUCAUGCGCUUCUUUCCAAGUCAUUCUUACUGCCUGCCCCUCCUUACUUCACCCUCUCCCUUCACACCUUCCCGAUGCUUCUGGUAUUCCUAGCCACUACUCCCCCCCCGCUGUAUGAACGAGCUGUCAAAACUGCCACAGCGACUGACUUCCUCAACGUCAUCAGCACAGAACCUCCGAACCUGGCGGAUGGCCUGAACAAUAUUGGUCGACACCCUGAUAACGCAUACUACUACCACGCGUGCCUGGCCGGAUUACAAGGGUCAUCGCUAUCUCCCCUCCCCAGCCUGCGCAUCGUCCUGCCACGGCGCCGUUAUCCAUAGCUGAACAGCCUUGUCGUGCGGAGUAACACGACUGGACUGUUCAGGCAUCGGGUUGGCCCGGGAUGACGUGACUCAUCAUCAGCCGCUCUCGUCUUUUCGAGAAGGACGCCCCUAGGUACUCAAGCUGGGAUGCUGGACUCCACAAAAGUUUUUGGGUGCGUGAGUACUUGGGGCGGCGAGGGUCCCGCAACUGAGAAAGGCAAGAGUGCCGCGGGUGCAGCGACAGUUCUUAGGGUGGCUAGAAUCCCGGUGAGAGUGCGGCGACGGAGUUCGGCGAGGAGUGCGGCGAGAGUUGCAUGAGGAGUUCGGCCCAGUGAGGAGUGAGGACUGUUGGAACUUGGCAGACAAGGAGUGACUUGACGAUAAACAUUUUUAAGUGUGAGUAAUUGGUAAUUUGGUCUUUUUAAGAACAACUAUUUAUGUAAAUAUUAUUAAUUAAUAAGAACUGUAAUUAAAAA